This is a non-coding RNA of Neurospora crassa OR74A, 590 nucleotides long. The record is from RefSeq and is a predicted model, not a curated record. NCBI's taxonomy places the organism in Eukaryota, Fungi, Ascomycota, Sordariomycetes, Sordariales, Sordariaceae.
ACGCACGCACGCACGUACACAACAAAGUAUUCAGAGUCAAUGUCGACGAUACGAAACCAUUUUGACCAUUGAGCGAGGAUACAAUCGUUUCGGACCCCUUUGCUUGACGAUCCUCUCCCUCGAUAGUCAUGUACAAAUCACGAGCAACGCCAUCGCCAAGCUGCCGUGUCUCACAAGCCCUCGUCCCUUGAAGAUAUCACGUACAUAUCGGCCCGUUGCCGACCCCUUUACGCUAUCAUCUCGGGAGGUGAGGUGGACACAUUUUGUGUGCCUUCAUGUGGUCGCCGAAACCCUAAUCUCCGUCCUCCGGUUUACCUGCCACCAAUGCAACCACAGAGCGGACCCGGGGGAUUGCACGGCGCAUAAAAUUUGAAGGCAGAAGCAAGGACGUUCCUAGAUUCAUGGCUCAAAGGUACCUUAAGGGUCUCCGCCAUCCGCCCGCCCGCCCACGACCCGUCGCGCGUCGUCCGUCCGUCAACUACAUACUCCAUGUCCACUACAGCCAAGGGAGCUAGUGGUACCACAGAAAUCUAGGGUAUCAAAAUGUCUAGAAUGCUCAUUUCUCGUACAGACAGCCACCUUGGGAGUAC